RNAcentral lists this ribosomal RNA (497 nucleotides) under uncultured bacterium. Its description in RNAcentral is "partial 16S ribosomal RNA". It matches the Rfam family "Bacterial small subunit ribosomal RNA", at positions 28 to 507 of the family's 1533-position model. The record is from RNAcentral.
GAUGAACGCUGGCGGCGUGCCUAAUACAUGCAAGUCGAGCGAACAGACGAGGAGCUUGCUCCUUCGACGUUAGCGGCGGACGGGUGAGUAACACGUAGGUAACCUACCUAUAAGACUGGGAUAACUUCGGGAAACCGGAGCUAAUACCGGAUAAUAUUUCGAACCGCAUGGUUCGAUAGUGAAAGAUGGCUUUGCUAUCACUUAUAGAUGGACCUGCGCCGUAUUAGCUAGUUGGUAAGGUAACGGCUUACCAAGGCAACGAUACGUAGCCGACCUGAGAGGGUGAUAGGCCACACUGGAACUGAGACACGGUCCAGACUCCUACGGGAGGCAGCAGUAGGGAAUCGUCCGCAAUGGGCGAAAGCCUGACGGAGCAACGCCGCGUGAGUGAUGAAGGUCUUCGGAUCGUAAAACUCUGUUAUUAGGGAAGAACAAACGUGUAAGUAACUGUGCACGUCUUGACGGUACCUAAUCAGAAAGCCACGGCUAACUACGUG